CAUUGCAUCCCCUAGAGAUCUUGUUAAAAUGAAGACUCUGCUUCGGUAGGUUUGUAGGAAGGGCUGACAUUCUGCAUUCCUGGCGAGCUCCCAAGUGAUGGCUAU
RNAcentral lists this microRNA precursor (105 nucleotides) under Marmota monax (woodchuck). Lineage: Eukaryota; Metazoa; Chordata; Mammalia; Rodentia; Sciuridae. The record is from RNAcentral.